This 204-nucleotide ribosomal RNA is filed under the name uncultured bacterium. RNAcentral's name for it is "partial 16S ribosomal RNA". It matches the Rfam family "Bacterial small subunit ribosomal RNA", at positions 117 to 331 of the family's 1533-position model. The record is from RNAcentral.
GUAGGAAUCUACCUCUUGGUGGGGAAUACCUUCGAGAAAUCGGAGUUAAUACCGCAUAAGACCACACGGUGAAAGGGCUUAACUGCCCGCCGAGAGAAGAGCCUGCGGCCUAUCAUGCUUGUUGGUGAGGUAAUGGCUCACCAAGGCUACAACGGGUAGGGGGCGUGAGAGCGUGUACCCCCAGAAUGGCACUGAGAUACGGGC